GGGGCAGACACAGACAUACAGAGAGACAGGGAGAAUGACAGACAGACAGACAGACAGGGAGAAUGACAGACAGACAGGGAGACAGAGAGGGAGAUGGAGGGGGCAGACACAGACAUACAGAGAGACAGGGAGAAUGACAGACAGACAGACUGGGAGAAUGACAGACAGACAGGGAGACAGAGAGGGAGAUGGAGGGGGCAGACACAGACAUACAGAGAGACAGGGAGAAUGACAGACAGGGAGAAUGACAGACAGAGAGGGAGAUGGAGGGGGCAGACACAGACAUACAGAGAGACAGGGAGAAUGACAGACAGACAGACAGACUGGGAGAAUGACAGACAGACAGACAGACAGACAGGGAGAAUGACAGACAGACAGGGAGACAGAGAGGGAGAUGGAGGGGGCAGACACAGACAUACAGAGAGACAGGGAGAAUGACAGACAGACAGACUGGGAGAAUGACAGACAGA
Esox lucius (northern pike) is the source of this 470-nucleotide long non-coding RNA. Lineage: Eukaryota; Metazoa; Chordata; Actinopteri; Esociformes; Esocidae. The record is from Ensembl.